UUAAAUGGCUGCAGUAAUUUGACUGUACAAAGGUAGCAUAAUCAUUAGUUUUUUAAUUAAAAGCUUGAAUGAAAGGUUGGACGAAGUAAAAUCUGUCUCUUUGUAAUAAAAUUAGAAUUUAAUUUUUAAGUUAAAAAGCUUAAAUUUUUAUAAAAGACGAGAAGACCCUAUAGAGUUUAAUAAUUUUUAAAAAAUAAUUAAUUUAGAUUUAUUGUUUUUAUUUUUUAUAAAUUAUUUUAUUGGGGUAAUAAUAAGAUUUAAGUAAUUCUUUUUUUUUAACCAUUAAUUUAUGAAAUAUAUGAUCCAUUAUUUUUAUGAUUAUAAG
Molecule: ribosomal RNA, 325 nt
Filed under: Aphaenops penacollaradensis
Lineage: Eukaryota; Metazoa; Arthropoda; Insecta; Coleoptera; Carabidae
Description: Hydraphaenops penacollaradensis partial 16S ribosomal RNA
Source: RNAcentral